GGGUUGUGAGGUUAAGCGACUAAGCGUACACGGUGGAUGCCCUGGCAGUCAGAGGCGAUGAAGGACGUGCUAAUCUGCGAUAAGCGUCGGUAAGGUGAUAUGAACCGUUAUAACCGGCGAUUUCCGAAUGGGGAAACCCAGUGUGUUUCGACACACUAUCAUUAACUGAAUCCAUAGGUUAAUGAGGCGAACCGGGGGAACUGAAACAUCUAAGUACCCCGAGGAAAAGAAAUCAACCGAGAUUCCCCCAGUAGCGGCGAGCGAACGGGGAGCAGCCCAGAGCCUGAAUCAGUGUGUGUGUUAGUGGAAGCGUCUGGAAAGGCGCGCGAUACAGGGUGACAGCCCCGUACACAAAAAUGCACAUGCUGUGAGCUCGAUGAGUAGGGCGGGACACGUGGUAUCCUGUCUGAAUAUGGGGGGACCAUCCUCCAAGGCUAAAUACUCCUGACUGACCGAUAGUGAACCAGUACCGUGAGGGAAAGGCGAAAAGAACCCCGGCGAGGGGAGUGAAAAAGAACCUGAAACCGUGUACGUACAAGCAGUGGGAGCACGCUUAGGCGUGUGACUGCGUACCUUUUGUAUAAUGGGUCAGCGACUUAUAUUCUGUAGCAAGGUUAACCGAAUAGGGGAGCCGAAGGGAAACCGAGUCUUAACUGGGCGUUAAGUUGCAGGGUAUAGACCCGAAACCCGGUGAUCUAGCCAUGGGCAGGUUGAAGGUUGGGUAACACUAACUGGAGGACCGAACCGACUAAUGUUGAAAAAUUAGCGGAUGACUUGUGGCUGGGGGUGAAAGGCCAAUCAAACCGGGAGAUAGCUGGUUCUCCCCGAAAGCUAUUUAGGUAGCGCCUCGUGAAUUCAUCUCCGGGGGUAGAGCACUGUUUCGGCAAGGGGGUCAUCCCGACUUACCAACCCGAUGCAAACUGCGAAUACCGGAGAAUGUUAUCACGGGAGACACACGGCGGGUGCUAACGUCCGUCGUGAAGAGGGAAACAACCCAGACCGCCAGCUAAGGUCCCAAAGUCAUGGUUAAGUGGGAAACGAUGUGGGAAGGCCCAGACAGCCAGGAUGUUGGCUUAGAAGCAGCCAUCAUUUAAAGAAAGCGUAAUAGCUCACUGGUCGAGUCGGCCUGCGCGGAAGAUGUAACGGGGCUAAACCAUGCACCGAAGCUGCGGCAGCGACGCUUAUGCGUUGUUGGGUAGGGGAGCGUUCUGUAAGCCUGCGAAGGUGUGCUGUGAGGCAUGCUGGAGGUAUCAGAAGUGCGAAUGCUGACAUAAGUAACGAUAAAGCGGGUGAAAAGCCCGCUCGCCGGAAGACCAAGGGUUCCUGUCCAACGUUAAUCGGGGCAGGGUGAGUCGACCCCUAAGGCGAGGCCGAAAGGCGUAGUCGAUGGGAAACAGGUUAAUAUUCCUGUACUUGGUGUUACUGCGAAGGGGGGACGGAGAAGGCUAUGUUGGCCGGGCGACGGUUGUCCCGGUUUAAGCGUGUAGGCUGGUUUUCCAGGCAAAUCCGGAAAAUCAAGGCUGAGGCGUGAUGACGAGGCACUACGGUGCUGAAGCAACAAAUGCCCUGCUUCCAGGAAAAGCCUCUAAGCAUCAGGUAACAUCAAAUCGUACCCCAAACCGACACAGGUGGUCAGGUAGAGAAUACCAAGGCGCUUGAGAGAACUCGGGUGAAGGAACUAGGCAAAAUGGUGCCGUAACUUCGGGAGAAGGCACGCUGAUAUGUAGGUGAAGUCCCUCGCGGAUGGAGCUGAAAUCAGUCGAAGAUACCAGCUGGCUGCAACUGUUUAUUAAAAACACAGCACUGUGCAAACACGAAAGUGGACGUAUACGGUGUGACGCCUGCCCGGUGCCGGAAGGUUAAUUGAUGGGGUUAGCGCAAGCGAAGCUCUUGAUCGAAGCCCCGGUAAACGGCGGCCGUAACUAUAACGGUCCUAAGGUAGCGAAAUUCCUUGUCGGGUAAGUUCCGACCUGCACGAAUGGCGUAAUGAUGGCCAGGCUGUCUCCACCCGAGACUCAGUGAAAUUGAACUCGCUGUGAAGAUGCAGUGUACCCGCGGCAAGACGGAAAGACCCCGUGAACCUUUACUAUAGCUUGACACUGAACAUUGAGCCUUGAUGUGUAGGAUAGGUGGGAGGCUUUGAAGUGUGGACGCCAGUCUGCAUGGAGCCGACCUUGAAAUACCACCCUUUAAUGUUUGAUGUUCUAACGUUGACCCGUGAUCCGGGUUGCGGACAGUGUCUGGUGGGUAGUUUGACUGGGGCGGUCUCCUCCUAAAGAGUAACGGAGGAGCACGAAGGUUGGCUAAUCCUGGUCGGACAUCAGGAGGUUAGUGCAAUGGCAUAAGCCAGCUUGACUGCGAGCGUGACGGCGCGAGCAGGUGCGAAAGCAGGUCAUAGUGAUCCGGUGGUUCUGAAUGGAAGGGCCAUCGCUCAACGGAUAAAAGGUACUCCGGGGAUAACAGGCUGAUACCGCCCAAGAGUUCAUAUCGACGGCGGUGUUUGGCACCUCGAUGUCGGCUCAUCACAUCCUGGGGCUGAAGUAGGUCCCAAGGGUAUGGCUGUUCGCCAUUUAAAGUGGUACGCGAGCUGGGUUUAGAACGUCGUGAGACAGUUCGGUCCCUAUCUGCCGUGGGCGCUGGAGAACUGAGGGGGGCUGCUCCUAGUACGAGAGGACCGGAGUGGACGCAUCACUGGUGUUCGGGUUGUCAUGCCAAUGGCACUGCCCGGUAGCUAAAUGCGGAAGAGAUAAGUGCUGAAAGCAUCUAAGCACGAAACUUGCCCCGAGAUGAGUUCUCCCUGACUCCUUGAGAGUCCUGAAGGAACGUUGAAGACGACGACGUUGAUAGGCCGGGUGUGUAAGCGCAGCGAUGCGUUGAGCUAACCGGUACUAAUGAACCGUGAGGCUUAACCUUACAACGCCGAAG
Molecule: ribosomal RNA, 2925 nt
Filed under: Escherichia coli
Lineage: Bacteria; Pseudomonadati; Pseudomonadota; Gammaproteobacteria; Enterobacterales; Enterobacteriaceae
Description: bacterial LSU rRNA
Rfam family: Bacterial large subunit ribosomal RNA
Source: RNAcentral